This 391-nucleotide ribosomal RNA is filed under the name uncultured bacterium. RNAcentral describes it as "bacterial SSU rRNA". It matches the Rfam family "Bacterial small subunit ribosomal RNA", at positions 420 to 793 of the family's 1533-position model. The record is from RNAcentral.
CGGGUGUAAAGCACUUUCAGUAGGGAGGAAGGUAGUGUAGUUAACACCUGCAUUAUUUGACGUUACCUACAGAAGAAGACACCGGCUAACUCCGUGCCAGCAGCCGCGGUAAUACGGAGGGUGCGAGCGUUAAUCGGAAUUACUGGGCGUAAAGACGCAUGCAGGCGGCCUGUUAAGUCAGAUGUGAAAGACCCGGGGCGUUAACCUCGGAAAUUGCAUUUGAAACUAGGCAGGCUAGAGUCUUGUAGAGGGGGGUAGGAAGUUUCAGGUGUAGCGGUGAAAUAGCGUAGAGAUCUGAAGGAAUACCAGUGGCGAAGGCGGCCCCCUCGGACAAAGACUGACGCUCAGAUGCGAAAGCGUGGGGAGCAAACAGGAUUAGAUACCCUGGUAG